This 447-nucleotide ribosomal RNA is filed under the name uncultured bacterium. RNAcentral describes it as "SSU rRNA". It matches the Rfam family "Bacterial small subunit ribosomal RNA", at positions 26 to 518 of the family's 1533-position model. The record is from RNAcentral.
AGAGCGAACGCUGGCGGCAGGCUUAACACAUGCAAGUCGAGCGGGCGUAGCAAUACGUCAGCGGCAGACGGGUGAGUAACGCGUGGGAACAUACCUUUUGGUUCGGAACAACACAGGGAAACUUGUGCUAAUACCGGAUAAGCCCUUACGGGGAAAGAUUUAUCGCCGAAAGAUUGGCCCGCGUCUGAUUAGCUAGUUGGUGGGGUAAAGGCCUACCAAGGCUACGAUCAGUAGCUGGUCUGAGAGGAUGAUCAGCCACACUGGGACUGAGACACGGCCCAGACUCCUACGGGAGGCAGCAGUAGGGAAUCUUGCGCAAUGGGCGAAAGCCUGACGCAGCCAUGCCGCGUGAAUGAUGAAGGUCUUAGGAUUGUAAAAUUCUUUCAGCGGGGACGAUAAUGACGGUACCCGCAGAAGAAGCCCGGCUAACUUCGCGCCAGCAGCCGC